UGUAAAUCUAUAUCGCUCGAAGAAAGGGAGCCCAUCCGGCGCUCGGCGCGUCCUUGCUGCACACCUGUUCUCCAUGCGUCGCUGGCAGCCAUCCGUACUUCGCGUUGGUCGUACGCGAUGCGAGGAACAUGCCGCGGGAGGCCUCCUUGUCCGGUGAGCUAAUCGUGUCUGCCUGGUUCAUCUUUUUGCGCCCUCUCCCUCCCUUCUCUCUCUCCCUCUUCCUUCCCCCACCGCGCCGCCACUCUUCCGCCACCGGCUUGCCCUCCUCGAGCUCCACCCCGUGGCGCGGACCACGAAGCUCGUGGCGGAGGUCGAGGACGCGGCGCGGCCCCCUCCUCCUGCCCAGCAGCGCGCGGAGGGAGCAGCUGCGGCCCGCCUCGGUUCAUCCGCCUCGCCGGCCGGCAGCUCCUCUCCCGCGGCGGUCCAGCCUGGAGGCGAGGCGGCGGCAGCAUCAGGCCCGCGGCAAGGAGGAGCGGGGCGCGAAGGAGGAGCAGCAGCGGUGGUCUGUGCCUGCUCCUCCCGUGUCCAUGGUCGGGGCGGCCGGCGUAGGCGAGCGGCGUGCAGGGGAUGGCUCGGCUUGCUACUUCUCCGCCGUUGCAUCCAUGGCUGGCAGCGGUGCGGGCGGAUCUCUAUCCAAAUCGGACGCAAUUACUCCUAUGGCGCUAGCAGGCAGCAGCUGGCUCUGUUCGGCCGGACGGACGCGGAGAAGAGAGAGGUAGGUCGUGCAAAAGGCGGAGCGCCACGACGAAGCUGUCGGAGCUGCGGUCCUCCUUCCGCUUCCGCCCCAACAGGCCGCAGCGGCCGCGGCCCUCUACAUGCUCUGCACGGUGGCGGGCCCGUCUCCAGCAAAUGAAUCAUCUGCAGCAAUCCCGUCGUUGCGAAUUCCCGUCGCGGCUCCCCUGCUAGCUAGACUGCUAGAGGCUGGUCCUUCACGUGAGCAACCUCUUGCAACAGCUACUCGGCUACGUCUCCGCUCGUCUGUCAACCAUAUGUGCUCGACCAUUCAGCUAUUCCCAAUGAGGCAUCUCUGUGGGUGAUGAAUACAUUUAAUAGCAAAAGGAAAGGAUCAGAUCUGCCAUUAUAAAAUAUUUCCACUACAAACUGCAGAGUACUUGAACAUUUGAUUUCCCUUCUGACAUUGCAAUUACAAAUAGGUUCCUAUACUUCUGCAUAACAAAUAGAAGUACAAAAUGCAUAGCUAUAUUUCUGAAGAUAUCAGUAAAUAAGCUAGCAGAGAAAACUUUAUUUCCAAAUUAAAAUUAUACAUGAUUAGGCUUACCAGUUUAUUCAUAGAGCAAAGUGUAACAUGUUGGUGCAGUUUUUAACCUAACUUGAAAUACAUGACACAUGUUCUAUGAUACCCAAAGUUACAUGACUUCUGAUUAGUGGAUCAGAUUGGUAACUGUGUCAUAACAUGUAAUUAAUGGUUUUUUUCUAAAUUGGUUUCUACUGCAAUCAUUUUAUGCUGUUAAUAAUCAUAGAACUGUAUUGUCAUUUACAUGCUUGGCUGAAAGUUAUGGUAGACAACCUACCAAAUUAAAAUAUUCUUAGAGUAGCAGUCAUAGGGAGACAUGACAUUCAUAAAUUUUUCUAAUAACAUAGGUCUGCGGUUAUAUGGUAUCCCAGAGGCUGUAAAAGAAUCAAAUAUGGAUAUGUGAUAGGGCUGGACUUCAAAAUUAUGAGUAUGAUCUAUUGCAGUCA
Molecule: long non-coding RNA, 1701 nt
Organism: Panicum virgatum (switchgrass)
Lineage: Eukaryota; Viridiplantae; Streptophyta; Magnoliopsida; Poales; Poaceae
Exons: 3
Source: RefSeq, a predicted model, not a curated record